AUGUUGAGGCCGGCCCUGCCGAAAUGGGCCUGGGCGCUGCUGUUGUCAU
Molecule: small RNA, 49 nt
Filed under: Sinorhizobium meliloti 2011
Lineage: Bacteria; Pseudomonadati; Pseudomonadota; Alphaproteobacteria; Hyphomicrobiales; Rhizobiaceae
Description: putative ncRNA
Source: RNAcentral